CCUACGGGUGGCAGCAGUGGGGAAUAUUGCACAAUGGGGGAAACCCUGAUGCAGCGACGCCGCGUGAAGGAAGAAGUAUUUCGGUAUGUAAACUUCUAUCAGCGGGGAGGAAAAUGGCGGUACCUGACUAAGAAGCCCCGGCUAACUACGUGCCAGCAGCCACGGUAAUACGUAGGGGGCAAGCGUUCUCCGGAUUUACUGGGUGUAAAGGGCACGUGGGCGGCGAGGCAAGUCAGAAGUGAAAGCCCGGGGCUCAACUCCGGAACUGCUUUUGAAACUGGGUGGCUAGAGUGCAGGAGAGGUAAGUGGAAUUCCUAGUGUAGCGGUGAAAUGCGUAGAUAUUAGGAGGAACACCAGUGGCGAAGGCGGCCUACUGGACGGUAAAUGACGCUGAGGCGCGAAAGCGUGGGGAGCAAACAGGAUUAGAUACCCGAGUAGUC
This 440-nucleotide ribosomal RNA is filed under the name uncultured bacterium. Its description in RNAcentral is "partial 16S ribosomal RNA". It matches the Rfam family "Bacterial small subunit ribosomal RNA", at positions 338 to 795 of the family's 1533-position model. The record is from RNAcentral.